This 253-nucleotide ribosomal RNA is filed under the name uncultured bacterium. RNAcentral's name for it is "partial 16S ribosomal RNA". It matches the Rfam family "Bacterial small subunit ribosomal RNA", at positions 524 to 776 of the family's 1533-position model. The record is from RNAcentral.
UACGUAGGGUGCGAGCGUUAAUCGGAAUUACUGGGCGUAAAGCGUGCGCAGGCGGUGAUGUAAGACCGAUGUGAAAUCCCCGGGCUUAACCUGGGAACUGCAUUGGUGACUGCAUCGCUCGAGUAUGGCAGAGGGGGGUAGAAUUCCACGUGUAGCAGUGAAAUGCGUAGAGAUGUGGAGGAAUACCUAUGGCGAAGGCAGCCCCCUGGGUCAAUACUGACGCUCAUGCACGAAAGCGUGGGGAGCAAACAGG